Molecule: ribosomal RNA, 1389 nt
Filed under: uncultured bacterium
Lineage: Bacteria
Description: bacterial SSU rRNA
Rfam family: Bacterial small subunit ribosomal RNA
Source: RNAcentral
GAUGAACGCUAGCAGGACGCCUAACACAUGCAAGUCGAACGGUUCAUUUUCUCUGAAAGGCUUUUUCUUCGGAAAAGGUUUCGAUGAGAUUUCCGAACAGUGGCAAACGGGCGAGUAACACGUAUCUAACCUGCCCCGAAGAGAGGGAUAACUGCGGAAACGCCGCUAAUACCUCAUGUGCUCCAUAGAAGGAAGUAUAUAUGGAGUAAAGGUUUCGGUCGCUUUGGGAGGGGGAUGCGGCCUAUCAGGUAGUUGGUAAGGUAAUGGCUUACCAAGCCUAUGACGGGUAACCGAUCUGAGAGGAUGUACGGUCGCAAUGGGACUGAGACACGGCCCAUACUCCUACGGGAGGCAGCAGUGGGGAAUCUUGGACAAUGGAGGAAACUCUGAUCCAGCGAUCCUGCGUGGAGGACGACGCCUUACGGGGUGUAAACUCCUUUUUUGGGGGAAGACGACUGACUGUACCCCAAGAAUAAGGGACGGCUAACUACGUGCCAGCAGCCGCGGUAAUACGUAGGUCCCAAGCGUUAUCCGGAUUUACUGGGCGUAAAGAGUCUGUAGCCGGUUAUGCAAGUCUAUUUUUAAAUCCUGCGACUCAAUCGUAGACAGGGAAUGGAUACUACAUAGCUAGAGGUUGUGAGGGGUUAGUAGAAUUUCCGGUGGAGCGGUGAAAUGUGUUGAUAUCGGAAGGAAUGCCAAAAGCGAAAGCAGCUAACUAUCACAAACCUGACGGUGAGAGACGAAAGUCUGGGUAGCAAACGGGAUUAGAUACCCCGGUAGUCCAGACCGUAAAUGAUGCUUGCUAAGUGUCUGGUCCGAUACUAAUUUUGCUUUUUUUAGGCAGAGUUAUUAUCGGACUGGGUGCUGCAACCUAACGGGUUAAGCAAGCCGCCUGGGUAGUAUAGUCGCAAGGCCGAAACUCAAAGGGAUAGGCGGGGGAACACACAAGCAGUGGAUUGUCUAGAUUAAUUGGAUAAUAAGCCAACAAUCUUACCUGGGUUUGAAAUCCUCAGAAUUCUGGUGAAAGCUGGAAGUGUCUCGCUCUGCGAGAAGCUGAGUGACAGGCGCUGCACGGUCGUCGUCAGCUCGUGCCGCAAGGUGUCCAGUUAAGUCUGGUAACGAGCGCAACCCUUGUCCUAUGUUAGAAUGUCAUAGGAGACUGCCUAGGCAACUAGGAGGAAGGAGAGGAUGACGUCAGAUCAUCAUGGCCCUUAUACCCAGGGCUUCAUAGACAAUACAAUGGGUGUUACAAUGAGAAGCGAUAUCGUGAGGUGGAGCGAAUCUCGAAAAGCAUCCUCAGUUCGGAUUGUAGUCUGGAACUCGACUACAUGAAGCCGGAAUUGCUAGUAAUGGUGAAUCAGGAUGUCACCGUGAAUGAGUCCCUGUUCC